RNAcentral lists this ribosomal RNA (51 nucleotides) under Vargasiella peruviana. Its description in RNAcentral is "partial 26S ribosomal RNA". Lineage: Eukaryota; Viridiplantae; Streptophyta; Magnoliopsida; Asparagales; Orchidaceae. The record is from RNAcentral.
CGACCCCAGGAUGGGCGAGGCCACCCGCCGAGUUUAAGCAUAUCAAUAAGC